This 65-nucleotide transfer RNA is filed under the name Scaphoideus nigrivalveus. RNAcentral's name for it is "tRNA-Glu". Lineage: Eukaryota; Metazoa; Arthropoda; Insecta; Hemiptera; Cicadellidae. The record is from RNAcentral.
AUUUUCAUAGUUUAAGAAAACAUUUCAUUUUCAUUGAAAAGUUAGUAUAACUAUACUUGUUAAUA